CCUACGGGGGGCUGCAGUGGGGAAUAUUGGACAAUGGGCGAAAGCCUGAUCCAGCCAUGCCGCGUGUGUGAAGAAGGCCUUCGGGUUGUAAAGCACUUUCAGUGGGGAAGAAAGCCUUGGGGCUAAUACCCUCGAGGAAGGACAUCACCCACAGAAGAAGCACCGGCUAACUCCGUGCCAGCAGCCGCGGUAAUACGGAGGGUGCGAGCGUUAAUCGGAAUUACUGGGCGUAAAGCGCGCGUAGGCGGUCUGAUAAGCCGGUUGUGAAAGCCCCGGGCUCAACCUGGGAACGGCAUCCGGAACUGUCAGGCUAGAGUGCAGGAGAGGAAGGUAGAAUUCCCGGUGGAGCGGUGAAAUGCGUAGAGAUCGGGAGGAAUACCAGUGGCGAAGGCGGCCUUCUGGACUGACACUGACGCUGAGGUGCGAAAGCGUGGGUAGCAAACAGGAUUAGAUACCCCGGUAGUC
Molecule: ribosomal RNA, 465 nt
Filed under: Vreelandella stevensii
Lineage: Bacteria; Pseudomonadati; Pseudomonadota; Gammaproteobacteria; Oceanospirillales; Halomonadaceae
Description: partial 16S ribosomal RNA
Rfam family: Bacterial small subunit ribosomal RNA
Source: RNAcentral